UCCAAGGCAUCGAUCAGUAGCUGGUCUGAGAGGACGACCAGCCACACUGGAACUGAGACACGGUCCAGACUCCUACGGGAGGCAGCAGUGGGGAAUUUUGGACAAUGGGCGAAAGCCUGAUCCAGCAAUGCCGCGUGAGUGAAGAAGGCCUUCGGGUUGUAAAGCUCUUUUGUCAGGGAAGAAACGGUGGGGGCUAAUAUCCCUUGCUAAUGACGGUACCUGAAGAAUAAGCACCGGCUAACUACGUGCCAGCAGCCGCGGUAAUACGUAGGGUGCAAGCGUUAAUCGGAAUUACUGGGCGUAAAGCGUGCGCAGGCGGUUUUGUAAGUCUGUCGUGAAAUCCCCGGGCUCAACCUGGGAAUUGCGAUGGAGACUGCAAGGCUAGAAUCUGGCAGAGGGGGGUAGAAUUCCACGUGUAGCAGUGAAAUGCGUAGAGAUGUGGAGGAACACCGAUGGCGAAGGCAGCCCCCUGGGUCAAGAUUGACGCUCAUGCACGAAAGCGUGGGGAGCAAACAGGAUUAGAUACCCUGGUAGUCCACGCCCUAAACGAUGUCUACUAGUUGUCGGGUUUUAAUUAACUUGGUAACGCAGCUAACGCGUGAAGUAGACCGCCUGGGGAGUACGGUCGCAAGAUUAAAACUCAAAGGAAUUGACGGGGACCCGCACAAGCGGUGGAUGAUGUGGAUUAAUUCGAUGCAACGCGAAAAACCUUACCUACCCUUGACAUGUACGGAAGCCACGAGAGAUCGAGGUGUGCUCGAAAGAGAGCCGUAACACAGGUGCUGCAUGGCUGUCGUCAGCUCGUGUCGUGAGAUGUUGGGUUAAGUCCCGCAACGAGCGCAACCCUUGUCAUUAGUUGCUACGAAAGAGCACUCUAAUGAGACUGCCGGUGACAAACCGGAGGAAGGUGGGGAUGACGUCAAGUCCUCAUGGCCCUUAUGGGUAGGGCUUCACACGUCAUACAAUGGUACAUACAGAGGGCCGCCAACCCGCGAGGGGGAGCUAAUCCCAGAAAGUGUAUCGUAGUCCGGAUUGUAGUCUGCAACUCGACUACAUGAAGUUGGAAUCGCUAGUAAUCGCGGAUCAGCAUGUCGCGGUGAAUACGUUCCCGGGUCUUGUACACACCGCCCGUCACACCAUGGGAGCGGGUUUUACCAGAAGUAGGUAGCUUAACCGUAAGGGGGGCGCUUACCACGGUAGGAUUCGUGACUGGGGUGAAGUCGGAACAAGGUAGCCGUAUCGGAAGGUGCGGCUG
RNAcentral lists this ribosomal RNA (1255 nucleotides) under metagenome. Its description in RNAcentral is "bacterial SSU rRNA". It matches the Rfam family "Bacterial small subunit ribosomal RNA", at positions 267 to 1520 of the family's 1533-position model. The record is from RNAcentral.